GCUGGAUGCUGCUGCUGUUCCAGCUUCCUAGGUGUGGAAACUGAAGGACCAAGAGAUUAAACAGUGGUGCAAAAGUGGUAAGAAUUCAGCAUUCUCCUCGACAAGUGGACGAGCAUCUACUGUGCUUUCACAGCGGCUAUCACUAUUGCCAGCAGCAAGACUGUCAGCUCGGCGCCCUCGUCUGGUUGGAUGGGAAACUGCAGUUGCUAAGGGAGCUGGGUUUGAAUCUCUGAGGACAAAUGGGAAUUCUCACUGAUUUCUAGGACUACCCUGGGGCAGGCACCCUGCACAGCAAUACACACUGAACAAUGUCGAGUUUCUGCUGAAUAGACUUCCUACGUUGCUCUGGAAUUCGAAGUUGGCCUAACUGAGGUCUCCAGUUACAGAAAACACUGGCUCUGUAUCCUGGGCUUUGAGAAAACUUAUCAGGCUGUCACACUUACCAUCCCUUCAGUCUGCUUGUCAGGUUCCUUAAGGACGCAUAUCUCAAAUGUAUGGCAUCUACCUCUACCUGGGUCACAACCAAGUGGGUUUCUACUAGAUCGGUGUUCCUUGACAGCCAACAAGGGAGCUGACACUGCCCUCCUAAGUUCUGAUCUUGCUCCUGUUCAACUGGAACUUGAUGGAUCCCAUGUGGUUUCCCCCAUCCUGACGCUGUGGCUCAGACACUCUCCCUAAGCUGGUCCUUCCCUCCAAAUCCUGCCUUAAACACACUCAGAAGGUAGAAAACACUUCAGCAGCAAAGUCCUCUUCCCAAGCCAACAGUUGUGUUCUUCCAAUCACAUGAUCUUACCUUUUCAAUAAAAGGCAAAACAAACCAAUUUCCAACAUAGCAUUACAGCCUUUAAAACCAUUCACUUCUCAUAGUGAUUCACAGAGAACAAGAGAUUAAAGUGCUGGAUUUUAAAUGUCUAAAGUUGCCUUCAGGGCUACAAAAAGCCCUGCCGUGUGUGUUUUUCCUUCAUGGUGUUGAGGGGAAGGAAAGAUAGGGAAGGGCAGUGGGGAGAAACCCUAAAAUUUUCAAUCAGAAACUGGAAAUUGUAAAAGUGGGAGGUGGGGAGUUCUGUGCAAAUCAAUCUCCCAAGGUUCUGCGUCCUCUAGUGAGCCUCAAAGAAAAAAAAAAAAACAAAAAGGUGGGGACUCGCAAAAAGGAUGAGGGAAAGGCUCCAGACCUACAGAGCACCUCCCUUAAUAAAUACCAGUUAGUAAGAAAGAGAUGCACCUGCACAGGAAUGCACAGCAACAGUGGGGAGGGCCUGAGGUGGAGUCCGCCGAGCACCCUGUCGCCCCACUGAGGCUCCCUUGGGGACAGGCGGUCUAGUGCUCAUUCCUUGCCCUACGUGCAGCAGGUACUGUGCAGGCUCUGGAGAUGCCCAGUCCUCUGUCUGGACCAGAGUCCACACAGAGCUGAGCUGGGGCAGGAGACUGGCUUUCACUAGGCUUUCAUCUGAUUUUAAUAAGGACCUGGAAGAUAAAAGGCUAAAUGUGUGGUAGAGGACAAAAAACAAAAACAAACCUGGGGGAUAAUAUAAAUACAAUCUGGGGGCAAUAUUUAUUAAUUAAAACUACGUCUUAUAGUUUACAAAGAUGCUAAUGAACAACAAAAGUAUAAUUGACCUUUAAAAUCCUCAGUGAGACAGAGGCUUCACAUCUUCAGAAUUCUAAAGUGUGCUCCAGGCAGGGAGGCGGGGCUGUGGCACGCAGGUUCCCAGGGGCAGCACCUGCAGACUGCAGGACUCGGAGACCAAAAGGAUCCACAAAGCAAGACUCCAGUCUCCUGUAGAAUUCCAUUCCCCAACCCCCACUGUCCUUGUAUUCCUGCCUCCCCAGAUUCCAUUUCCAAGGCAAGUCCUCAGUUUAUCGUCGGGAGAAUCUGUUCUUGAAAGCUUUAAUUGUCUUGGCCAUCAUUGGGGCAA
RNAcentral lists this long non-coding RNA (1916 nucleotides) under Homo sapiens (human). Its description in RNAcentral is "non-protein coding ELOA-AS1:23". The record is from RNAcentral. Lineage: Eukaryota; Metazoa; Chordata; Mammalia; Primates; Hominidae.